RNAcentral lists this ribosomal RNA (910 nucleotides) under uncultured Acidobacteriota bacterium. RNAcentral describes it as "bacterial SSU rRNA". It matches the Rfam family "Bacterial small subunit ribosomal RNA", at positions 33 to 917 of the family's 1533-position model. The record is from RNAcentral. Lineage: Bacteria; Pseudomonadati; Acidobacteriota.
ACGCUGGCGGCGUGCUUCAGACAUGCAAGUCGAACGCGAAAGUUCCCUUCGGGGAGCGAGUAGAGUGGCGCACGGGUGAGUAACACGUAGGUAAUCUAACUUUGGAUGGGGAAUAACAACCCGGAAACGGUUGCUAAUACCGCAUAAUGCAGCGGGCACCUAAUGGUGACAGUUGUUAAAGCGGGGGAUCGAAAGACCUCGCGUCUGAAGAGGAGCCUGCGGCGGAUUAGCUAGUUGGUAAGGUAACGGCUUACCAAGGCGAUGAUCCGUAACCGGCCUGAGAGGGCGGUCGGUCACACUGACACUGACAUACGGGUCAGACUCCUACGGGAGGCAGCAGUCGGGAAUUUUGGGCAAUGGGCGAAAGCCUGACCCAGCAACGCCGCGUGAAGGAUGAAAUCCCUCGGGAUGUAAACUUCGCAAGAACAGGAAGAAUAAGUAAGGGUUAAUAUCUCUUACGAUGACGGUACUGUUUGUAAGCUCCGGCUAACUCCGUGCCAGCAGCCGCGGUAAUACGGGGGGAGCAAGCGUUGUUCGGAUUUACUGGGCGUAAAGGGCGCGUAGGCGGCCACCGCAAGUCGACUGUGAAAUCUCCGGGCUUAACUCGGAAAGGUCAGCCGAUACUGCGGGGCUAGAGUGCAGAAGGGGCAACUGGAAUUCUCGGUGUAGCGGUGAAAUGCGUAGAUAUCGAGAGGAACACCUGCGGCGAAGGCGGGUUGCUGGGCUGACACUGACGCUGAAGCGCGAAAGCUAGGGGAGCGAACGGGAUUAGAUACCCCGGUAGUCCUAGCCUUAAACGAUGAAUGCUUGGUGUCUGGGGUUUUAUAGUCCCCGGGUGCCGUCGCUAACGCUUUAAGCAUUCCGCCUGGGGAGUACGGUCGCAAGACUGAAACUCAAAUGAAUUGACGGG